GUGAGGAAUAUUGCGCAAUGGAGGCAACUCUGACGCAGCCAUGCCGCGUGCAGGAAGAAGGCGCUACGCGUUGUAAACUGCUUUUAACCGGGAAGAAACCCCAGGACGUGUCCUGGGUUGACGGUACCGGAGGAAUAAGCACCGGCUAACUUCGUGCCAGCAGCCGCGGUAAUACGAAGGGUGCAAGCGUUAUCCGGAUUCAUUGGGUUUAAAGGGUGCGUAGGCGGAGCGUUAAGUCAGUGGUGAAAUCCUGCAGCUUAACUGUAUACUUGCAAUUGAUACUGGCGCUCUUGAGUGCGCUUGAAGUGGGCGGAAUGUGCCGUGUAGCGGUGAAAUGCUUAGAUAUGGCACAGAACACCAAUUGCGAAGGCAGCUCACUAAGGCGAUACUGACGCUGAGGCACGAAAGCGUGGGGAUCGAACAGGAUUAGAUACCCUUGUAGUCC
RNAcentral lists this ribosomal RNA (445 nucleotides) under uncultured bacterium. Its description in RNAcentral is "partial 16S ribosomal RNA". It matches the Rfam family "Bacterial small subunit ribosomal RNA", at positions 354 to 796 of the family's 1533-position model. The record is from RNAcentral.